UACGGGGGGUGCGAGCGUUGUCCGGAAUUACUGGGCGUAAAGCGCGUGUAGGCGGCAGGGCAUGUCGGAUGUGAAAUCCCGUGGCUCAACCACGGAAGUGCACCCGAAACUGCCCAGCUUGAGUCUCGGAGAGGAAGGCGGAAUGCUUGGUGUAGAGGUGAAAUUCGUAGAUAUCAAGCGGAACACCGGUGGCGAAGGCGGCCUUCUGGACGAUGACUGACGCUGAGACGCGAAAGCGUGGGGAGCAAACAGG
Molecule: ribosomal RNA, 253 nt
Filed under: uncultured bacterium
Lineage: Bacteria
Description: partial 16S ribosomal RNA
Rfam family: Bacterial small subunit ribosomal RNA
Source: RNAcentral